This 72-nucleotide transfer RNA is filed under the name Phrynosoma platyrhinos (Desert horned lizard). RNAcentral describes it as "tRNA-OTHER". Lineage: Eukaryota; Metazoa; Chordata; Lepidosauria; Squamata; Phrynosomatidae. The record is from RNAcentral.
GCCAGUGUGGUGUAGUGGUUUGAGCAUUGGACUAGAAUUCUGGAAAGCAGGGUUCAAAUCCCAUCUCAGUCA